This 440-nucleotide ribosomal RNA is filed under the name uncultured bacterium. Its description in RNAcentral is "partial 16S ribosomal RNA". It matches the Rfam family "Bacterial small subunit ribosomal RNA", at positions 338 to 795 of the family's 1533-position model. The record is from RNAcentral.
CCUACGGGUGGCAGCAGUGGGGAAUAUUGCACAAUGGGGGAAACCCUGAUGCAGCGACGCCGCGUGAGUGAAGAAGUACUUCGUUAUGUAAAGCUCCAUCAGUAGGGAAGAAAAUGACGGUACCUGAGUAAGAAGCCCCGGCUAACUACGUGCCAGCAGCCGCGGUAAUACGUAGGGGGCAAGCGUUAUCCGGAUUUACUGGGUGUAAAGGGAGCGUAGACGGGAGUGCAAGUCAGGAGUGAAAGGCGGGGGCUCAACCUCCGGACUGCUCUGGAAACUGUACGGCUGGAGUGCAGGAGAGGUAGGUGGAAUUCCUGGUGUAGCGGUGAAAUGCGUAGAUAUUAGGAGGAACACCAAUGGCGAAGGCAGCUUACUAAACUGUAACUGACGUUGAGGCUCGAAAGCGUGGGGAGCAAACAGGAUUAGAUACCCGAGUAGUC